GGGAAUGUGGCUUAGCAGUAGAGUGCUUGCCUAACAAGCAAGCCCUGGGUUCAAUUCCUCAGUGCCA
RNAcentral lists this transfer RNA (67 nucleotides) under Dipodomys ordii (Ord's kangaroo rat). It matches the Rfam family "tRNA". Rfam says of the family: Transfer RNA (tRNA) molecules are approximately 80 nucleotides in length. Lineage: Eukaryota; Metazoa; Chordata; Mammalia; Rodentia; Heteromyidae. The record is from Rfam by way of RNAcentral.